UACGUAGGGUGCAAGCGUUGUCCGGAAUUAUUGGGCGUAAAGAGCUCGUAGGCGGUUUGUUGCGUCGGCUGUGAAAUCCCGAGGCUCAACCUCGGGUCUGCAGUCGAUACGAGCAAACUAGAGUGUUGCAGGGGAGACUGGAAUUCCUGGUGUAGCGGUGAAAUGCGCAGAUAUCAGGAGGAACACCGGUGGCGAAGGCGGGUCUCUGGGCAACAACUGACGCUGGAGGUGCGAAAGCGUGGGGAGCAAACAGG
RNAcentral lists this ribosomal RNA (254 nucleotides) under uncultured bacterium. RNAcentral describes it as "partial 16S ribosomal RNA". It matches the Rfam family "Bacterial small subunit ribosomal RNA", at positions 524 to 776 of the family's 1533-position model. The record is from RNAcentral.